Molecule: unclassified non-coding RNA, 348 nt
Filed under: soil metagenome
Description: partial contains 5.8S ribosomal RNA, internal transcribed spacer 2, and large subunit ribosomal RNA
Rfam family: 5.8S ribosomal RNA (bases 1-120)
Source: RNAcentral
GAUGAAGAACGCAGCGAAAUGCGAUAAGUAAUGUGAAUUGCAGAAUUCAGUGAAUCAUCGAAUCUUUGAACGCACAUUGCGCCCGCCAGUAUUCUGGCGGGCAUGCCUGUCUGAGCGUCAUUUCAACCCUCAUGCCCCUAGGGCGUGGUGUUGGGGAUCGGCCAAAGCCCGCGAGGGACGGCCGGCCCCUAAAUCUAGUGGCGGAACCGUCGUGGCCUCCUCUGCGAAGUAGUGAUAUUCCGCAUCGGAGAGCGAUGAGCCCCUGCCGUUAAACCCCCAACUUUCCAAGGUUGACCUCAGAUCAGGUAGGAAUACCCGCUGAACUUAAGCAUAUCAAUAAGCGGAGGA